This 409-nucleotide small RNA is filed under the name uncultured Glomeromycotina. RNAcentral describes it as "eukaryotic LSU rRNA". Lineage: Eukaryota; Fungi; Glomeromycota. The record is from RNAcentral.
AGAGUUAAACAGUACGUGAAAUUGUUGAAAGGGAAACGAUUGAAGUCAGUCGUGCUGGCGCGAAAUCAGCUCGACCACUGGGGGAUCACGGGCCGUAGCGAGCCUCAAAACCGUUGCGACUUGUGAUUGCUUGGUGGCCUGGUGCACUUUCGUGUCUGCUGGUUAGCAUCAAUUUUGAUUGUCAUAAAAAGGUUAAGGGGAUGUGGCUCCUUCGGGAGUGUUAUAACCCUUAGCGGAAUGUGGCGAUUGGGAUUGAGGAUUGCAACGAAUACCUUUAGGGCAGUUCCGUCUGGUCUCUUGUUGACGUUUAGAUGGCAACAGCUUGCUUUUGUUGUUUGAAUUAGUUAGCAAAUAGAUUGGAAAGUGAAUUAAUUCGUUAAGGAUGCUGACGUAAUGGCUUUAAACGACC